RNAcentral lists this unclassified non-coding RNA (362 nucleotides) under soil metagenome. RNAcentral's name for it is "partial contains 5.8S ribosomal RNA, internal transcribed spacer 2, and large subunit ribosomal RNA". The stretch from base 1 to 120 matches the Rfam family "5.8S ribosomal RNA", at positions 35 to 154 of the family's 154-position model. The record is from RNAcentral.
GAUGAAGAACGUAGCGAAAUGCGAUAAGUAAUGUGAAUUGCAGAAUUCAGUGAAUCAUCGAAUCUUUGAACGCACCUUGCGCUCCUUGGUAUUCCGAGGAGCAUGCCUGUUUGAGUGUCAUUAAUAUAUCAACCUUCUCUUUUUUGGGUUGUUUGGAUGUGGGGGUUUGCUGGCCUCUUAAAUGAUUCAGCUCCCCUGAAAUGCAUUAGCAGAACAACCUGUUCAUUGGCGUGAUAAUUAUCUAUGCUAUUGAAUGUGAGGGCAGUUCAGCUUUCUAACCGUCCUUGGACAAUUCAUCAUUAAUGUGACCUCAAAUCAGGUAGGACUACCCGCUGAACUUAAGCAUAUCAAUAAGCGGAGGA